Molecule: unclassified non-coding RNA, 271 nt
Filed under: Hevea brasiliensis (rubber tree)
Lineage: Eukaryota; Viridiplantae; Streptophyta; Magnoliopsida; Malpighiales; Euphorbiaceae
Source: RNAcentral
CAUAUUGGAGAUAAAAUGAGAGAGUGUCGUUUAAGAUGGUUUGUCUUGUACAAUGUAGAGAAUCAAAUGCUCCAAUAGAAAGUAUAGUAAGUUAGUAGGGGAAAGAGUGAAAAGGGACAAGGGGAGGCGUAAGAUGACGUGAAGGGAAAUAAUAUUAAAGGAUUUACAAGUUCUAGAUAUUGAUACGGGCUUGAUGUCUAAUAAAGUUGAAUGGCGAAAAAUGAUUUAUAUAGCCGAAUCCAACUAGUUAGUUUGGGAUUAAGACUUAGUU